RNAcentral lists this ribosomal RNA (253 nucleotides) under uncultured bacterium. RNAcentral describes it as "partial 16S ribosomal RNA". It matches the Rfam family "Bacterial small subunit ribosomal RNA", at positions 524 to 776 of the family's 1533-position model. The record is from RNAcentral.
GACAGAGGGGGCAAGCGUUGCUCGGAAUCACUGGGCGUAAAGGGCGCGUGGGCGGGAUGGCAAGUCAGUCGUGAAAUCUCUCGGCUCAACCGAGAAACGUCGGCUGAUACUGCCGUUCUUGAGGGAUGCAGAGGAGACUGGAAUUCCCGGUGUAGCGGUGAAAUGUGUAGAGAUCGGGAGGAACACCGGUGGCGAAGGCGGGUCUCUGGGCAUUUCCUGACGCUGAGGCGCGAAAGCGUGGGGAGCAAACGGG